This 253-nucleotide ribosomal RNA is filed under the name uncultured bacterium. RNAcentral describes it as "partial 16S ribosomal RNA". It matches the Rfam family "Bacterial small subunit ribosomal RNA", at positions 524 to 776 of the family's 1533-position model. The record is from RNAcentral.
UACGAAGGGGGCUAGCGUUGCUCGGAAUUACUGGGCGUAAAGGGCGCGUAGGCGGACAGUUUAGUCAGAGGUGAAAGCCCAGGGCUCAACCUUGGAAUAGCCUUUGAUACUGACUGUCUUGAGUUCGGGAGAGGUGAGUGGAAUGCCGAGUGUAGAGGUGAAAUUCGUAGAUAUUCGGCGGAACACCAGUGGCGAAGGCGACUCACUGGCCCGAUACUGACGCUGAGGCGCGAAAGCAUGGGGAGCGAACAGG